GUCUUAGAAGCUUACAGCGUCCUAUUUUGUAAAUAGGUUUAGGUUGGGGCAGGUUCAACCUAAGAUU
Molecule: transfer RNA, 67 nt
Filed under: Ophioleila elegans
Lineage: Eukaryota; Metazoa; Echinodermata; Ophiuroidea; Amphilepidida; Hemieuryalidae
Description: tRNA-Thr
Source: RNAcentral